This 497-nucleotide ribosomal RNA is filed under the name uncultured bacterium. Its description in RNAcentral is "partial 16S ribosomal RNA". It matches the Rfam family "Bacterial small subunit ribosomal RNA", at positions 28 to 507 of the family's 1533-position model. The record is from RNAcentral.
GAUGAACGCUGGCGGCGUGCCUAAUACAUGCAAGUCGAGCGAACGGACGAGAAGCUUGCUUCUCUGAUGUUAGCGGCGGACGGGUGAGUAACACGUGGAUAACCUACCUAUAAGACUGGGAUAACUUCGGGAAACCGGAGCUAAUACCGGAUAAUAUUUUGAACCGCAUGGUUCAAAAGUGAAAGACGGUCUUGCUGUCACUUAUAGAUGGAUCCGCGCUGCAUUAGCUAGUUGGUAAGGUAACGGCUUACCAAGGCAACGAUGCAUAGCCGACCUGAGAGGGUGAUCGGCCACACUGGAACUGAGACACGGUCCAGACUCCUACGGGAGGCAGCAGUAGGGAAUCUUCCGCAAUGGGCUAAAGCCUGACGGAGCAACGCCGCGUGAGUGAUGAAGGUCUUCGGAUCGUAAAACUCUGUUAUUAGGGAAGAACAUAUGUGUAAGUAACUGUGCACAUCUUGACGGUACCUAAUCAGAAAGCCACGGCUAACUACGUG